Long non-coding RNA from Anneissia japonica, 2390 nucleotides. RefSeq lists it as uncharacterized. Lineage: Eukaryota; Metazoa; Echinodermata; Crinoidea; Comatulida; Comatulidae. The transcript is spliced from 2 exons. The record is from RefSeq and is a predicted model, not a curated record.
AGGCCUUUGCGGGUUGCUAAACGGACAACGUUUGUAAAGAUAUGGAAAGAGUAUUGCCCUUAUGUGAUGACAACGCGUCCAAAAAGUGACCUGGGCGCUGUCAAAAAAAAACAACUCCUCAGUGUACCACAGUGCAAACAACAGAUGCAGAAAAACAGGAAAGGUUGAAUCAACAACUUGAACAUCUCUAACAAGUUCAGAGGGUAAGAGAAUUUUAUCGCUGUAAUGUUGCAGAAGUAAAAGAAACUCUGCGUGGGGAAAGUCUAGGGGCCAAUGCUGCCUGUUGGAGGGAAGGCUCUUCGCAUUAAAGCCCGGACCGAUAUAUUUCAUCACUGCAUGAAAAUGUGGGAUAUUUGGAGUUGCAGCUGAGGGAAUGUCAAGACAAGUCAAUUAUUUGAUUGAUUGAUGAAACCCACAACGUGUCAAAAGAAUCAAACGCUGUAAUUUCAUACAUGCAAGAUUUUUUCAUCAACUACGGCUUAGGUAAAAAAUUCUGCAAUCUUAAUUGCGACAAUUGUUCUCGCCAGAACAAGAAAAAAUAUAUGCUAUGGUAUUUAUGUUGGCGCUGUCUACGUGGCCUGCAUGAUGAUGUAUUCUUACUGGGCCUAUUUUGUUAUCGCAGGCCACACCAUAUUAUCACCUGAGUUGGAUUACUCAUAGUAGCAGUUUGGAUGACUUGGUGGAUGUGGUGCACACCAGCUCCAUAUCGGGGGUCAACAUCCCAAGACUCGUAGGAGAUGAAGAUAGAAAUGUGUUCAUCAAACAAUAUGAUUGGCAAGAGUUUCUAGCACCAUAUUUUAGGCCAUUACCCGGCAUUAAGAAAUAUCAUCAUUUCAGAUUUAGCGGGAGCAUCCUGGAAUUAUAUUCUAUAAGGAGUAUGCAGAUACAGUGUCAAGCAUAGCUAUCAGCUUUUGAAAAACAUUAGCCAUAUGCCUCCAGCAAACCUGCCUGUGUCUGUGACUCCCCCGGACUGACCUAUGACGAGCAGUUGUAUAAAUGCAACACAGUGAAUUUUGCCUUGUGACAAGGUAUGUCAAGAUCCUGAACAGCAAAGGAGAGUUAUUGAUAAUGCUCGUCCAUCGAAAAGGGCUAGAAGGGAAUAGAUCCAGUUUUAAGCUACUAAUAACUGUUAAACCAGUGAUUAUUAUAAUGCUUUGCAUUUAUUUUUUUUGUGUCUAUUUGAGUAAAUUGUAUGUUGGGUGUAUACCUUCUAUGCCAGUGUUUAUUUUCCAAUAAAUAGUUUUGCAAUAUGGUCAAGUGUAAUGUCAAGUAAUAAUUUACUUAACUUUUAAGUGCUAUCUAUACAAAUGUUUGCAAUGCACUGCAACUCAUUUAUAGUAUAUUUGCUGUAAAUUAUAAAGAUGUAAAUAUUGUAGUAUUGUUUUGAUACAUUUUUAUUUUCAUUAUCGAAUACAGAUAUAUAAAUAUUUUAAUUAAUUUUAUCUUUUAAUCAUUGUCAAAACCUUUAAGUAAAUAAUACAGAUUAUAUAGAUACAGAAUAAUAAGUAUUAAUUUCACUACUGAAUCAGUAAUUAUAAUGGAGAGAAUUGCAGAUUUUUUUUUCUACAAUGUUUUAAUGUAAUUGGCAAAUCGUUCUAUUCAAUUCCUAGUGCAUAAAUUGUUUUGCAAUGCAAUAUUUUGUAAUGUUCACCACUUUAUCAGUGGUUAUAAUGAGAAGAUUAUUGAACAAUUUUUCUCCACAUUAAUUUUACAGUAAUCAUUUUUUAAACCAAAUCAAACUACCUGUAUUCUAUUUGCAUGAUUGUUUUAAAAUGCAGAGUCAAAUGCAGUAUAUAACUUACACCAAGGUACUGUGUUUCAUUUUCUACUUUAUGGCUGAUUACUGUGCCAUAAAAAUCAGUAUUUGUUUUACGAGGAGCAAUUAUGUGUUUGUUUCAUGUAAUUGUAUUAAAUUUACAAGAAUAUUAGUGAAAUAAAUAUUCAUACAUCUGCCAGAUUUAUGUGGCACUCCAGCAAAAUAUUUUAUAGCACCAAUAUAUUUUUCAGUAGCACAUAUUUAUCACCCCCCGACCCCAUGUACAAGCCUUUAAAAUAUUCUGCUCCAUCCACCCCCCACCCACCGCCACAUAGACCAGCCCUCAAAAUUAGCGCCGGUAUUCGGCAGUGCCGAUGUAAACGGCGGCGUCUAGCCGCCACAACGCUGACGAAAAAAUCGCCGACGUGAAUUAGGACUAGGCCCUAUCCCAAGCUAACCCAGGCCAACGCUGGUACUAGGGCUUACCUAGGCCUAGUGGAACCAGUGGUGGUAGACUUGACAGGAUCGCCGUGAACAUAUUACACUUUAUUCUUAAUGAAAGCAAAUUAUUUAAUGUCUUUAUGUUGUAUUAUGAGUAAAAUGUGAAUAAAAUCAAACUGGAUUGUGUGUUUCA